Non-coding RNA from Phasianus colchicus (ring-necked pheasant), 3835 nucleotides. The record is from RefSeq and is a predicted model, not a curated record. NCBI's taxonomy places the organism in Eukaryota, Metazoa, Chordata, Aves, Galliformes, Phasianidae.
UCUCCACUUAGAGCUGAAAGUUUUUUUCUUUUUGUUAUCUUCAUAGCUUGGAGCCACAGGAGAAUAUCUGAGGAAAUGGUGCAUCUGAUUAAUCUGAGACUCUGCUAUAGUAUGGAAUUAGUGCUGAAAUCCUAUAGCUGUGUGCCCUGUGUUGGGUGGUCAGUGCGCGGUUUUUGUCAGUGCAUAGUGAAAAAUCUGCUCAAGAACAACUGUUUCUAUGAGAUCCCCCUGCUCAGGGAUGGUUCCGUUUUACAGAAACAAUUCAUUGCAAGAUUUUUUUUGACUCCUUAUGAGUAUAGAAAAUUGGCUGCUUCUGAAAUGCUGUUAUUAAUCUCAUUUCUAUAACAUUCUGAAAAAUCAAGAGCAGGGUCUGUUUUGUCCAAAUCAAUUUCUCUGCGAUUUUCCUCAGUUAUGAGAGAUAUCCUCAUUUUUUUUUUCCUGCCUGUUCAUGCCCCAAGUGCCUCACAGCACAAAUGUACCCUCUGGCCCUUCCUAUAAGUAUCUCCAGAUGACCUAACAUGGUCUUCAUAGUGCUCUGCAAUGAACAGUGUCACACUGACCUACUGCAGUGGCUAAAUUUAAGCUCCUUUCUUCUUCUUCUUCUUCUUCUUCUUUUAAUUGCCAUAUGUGUUCCCACUACUUGUGUGAUACUGGGAAGGGAACCCCAAUGCCAAUCUUCCCUUGCAUUUGGAGGAGCCUGUCUUGAUUUUGGAUGCCCUUUUUACACUUUUAAUAGAUGUAUUCUCUGAGCACAAAGACCCAACUUCACAUCUGGUUAUAGCACUGACAGAACCAUGGCAAUGUUUCACUCUCAGCAGGCACUUGACUGGAAAAAAAGAAUAACCCAUGCCUCUGACACACUGUUUCCAUGUGUUCUGUCUGCUGCCUCUGGCCUUGGUCUGGGGAGCAUUUUUAACCCUCUGCUCCUUGCCAAAAGCUCAAUGAGAAGGAACAUCCCCUUGGGUUCCUUUAGUUGAGGCCACAGUAUGCCUGGGCUCCUGCAGCCCCAGUGCAGCACAACUGCAGCCUGUCAGCAUCCCCUCACUCCCCCCUAACGUGUUUCUAUUUACUGCCAUAAUCAGCGCCCCUGAAAGGCAAGGCUGAACAACUGCUGUUAAAUAUAAUUGUCGCUGUGACAGGUCCAUUGUGGUGAGAAAAUUUGUGCCUUUCAGAGCUGACUCUCUGCUAAAGAGCAGUGGUAAAACCAGAGCUGAUUUCCUGGCCCGCAUGGCAGUGGAUCUGAGGAGUGAAGGCCGCUCCCUGUAUCCCAUGUGCAUCGAGGAGUGUUCAGCGUUAACCCUUCUCUCCAUUGCACAGGUGAGGCCAUGGAUGCCGAUGGUUCUGCAUCGCACAGAGCAGAGCCAGCAGGCGAGGGAGGUGCUCCUUCCCUUUGCUCUGCCCAGAGCUGGGCUGCCCAGUCCCAGGCAGACAGGGAAUGGCUGCAGAGAGCCCAGCAGAGGGCUGCAGAGAUGGUGGGGGCCUGGAGCACCUCCUGAUGGGGACAGGCUGAGAGCCCUGGGGCUGUUCACCUGGGGACUGGGAGGGAUCUGAUCAGUGCUGAUCAAUAUGUGAAGGGCGGGGGUCAGGAGGAUGGGGCUGGGCUCUGUUCUGUGCUGCUCAGCACCAGGACGAGGGGCACCGUGCACAGACUGGAGCCCAGGGAGUUCCAUAUGGGCGUGAGGAAGAACUUCUGUGCUGUGAGGGUGGCACGGAGAGGUGAGGUCUCCUUCCCUGGAGAUGUUCUGAUCCCCCUGGGUGCUCUUCUGUGCAGCUGCUGUAGGGAACUGCUUUGGGGGGGGAGCUGGUUGGACUGAGUCCAGAAGUCCAAUUCUGAACCAUAAGGAUUUAUGAUUCUAUGAACUUCCACAAAGCCCUGAUCCUGCCUCAGAGGGACGUCUUUGGUUGUGGCUGGCUUGUUUGGGUUGAAGUAUUCACUGAGAAACAGUGGGAUGUGUCCUCCUCUGUGGACUUUGGCUGAGACUCUUCCCUCGAGCACAGGAUUCAGCCUAAAAGAAGUCCUAUGUAACCGUCAGGCAGCCAAGAGACGAGAUCAUAAAACACAGCCCUGGAGAUUGUGGGAUGCAAUGGGGUGACAGCAGGAGACGGGUCAGACAGCUGAGAUCAACACAAAAACAUUUCCCACUGCAUCCUGAGAAGUGUUAGUGUUUGCAGGCAACACUAUGGAGCGACACCGAUCUGCGAUGCUGUUGAGACCCAUAGUUGGUUUGUUUCUGCUUCAUCUUCUGAGGAAACAAAGCAAGUGCUCAGCGUGCUUCCGCAUGAGAGGUUUCACCUGUGCAACAGACAUCCAGGUAAUAGAAGUGUGAUCACUGACCAUGAUGGUGCAGGAGCUGUGUCCUGCUGCCUCUUCCUCGACUAUUCCCCUCACUGCAGCCAUGGGAACCUCUGGCAGUAAUGAGGGAAACCUCCAUCUGCCUCAUCUACAUGCUUCCAUUAUGACCUUCCACUCUGAGAAAGUAAGUGUAAUUCUUCCCUGAAAAAUACCAGCCUGGUCUGGUGGGAGGUGUCCCUGCCCAUUGCAGGGACUGGAAGUGGGCCAUCCUAAAGGUCCCUUGCUCCAACCCAUUCUAUGAUGAUACCCAAACUAAUGGUACGUAUGUGCCAGUGUCACUGCAGCUGUUUUGCUAAAUGCUCUCCAAAUUAGGUUGUUUCCUUGCAGCUGCACGUUUGGCUUGUAACAGUGGUCUGUUUUUAGAAAGAUCUCAAGCACACCAGAGGAAGAGCAACCUGGUACCUGUCUGCAUAUGCCAGCAGCGGCUGCAUUACACAGAGCAACUCCUUCAUUCAUUGCCCGCUCCUAACAACAAACAGGUGCAGUCAGCAUUUCAGACAAUCUUCCUUUAAUACAAAGUCAAUAUAUCUACAUACACUGUGGUAUGAAAACCACUUAAUGUUUCAGUUUGAAAUAACAGUGUGAAAGCAACAGCACUUUGCUCUCAUACAAAGAAAAAAAACCUUCCCCCACCCCACCCCAACUCUUCCAGUAAGAUUUUGCUGCAACAUACUUAGAAAUUUGGGCAACUUUCACACAAAUAAGAAGUAAAAUCUUGAAGAAGCCUUUUGUUUUUUUUUGUUUUUUUUUUUCAUUUAAAGGCAGGAAAUGGAUUGUUGUGGGGUUUUCUGGGUAGCACUGGAUGACAAUAAUUACCCCUUCUAGAAAAAUAAAAAAGCCACAGGCAAGCAGUGUCCUGGGCAGUGCAUCUUUUCCAACACAUGCUGUCCUCUGUGCACUUCUGUAAGGAAAUUCCUUGUUCUGUACCCCUGUUACACUUAUCAUAACUUCACACCAGUGCAUGGACAGAGUUAGGCUCUUACCUCCAUUACACUGCUGAUGUUUAAAAGCUGUGUGCUUGCCCACAUGUGCUGUGGCUCUGAAGCUGCUGUAUUUUUGUCUUCAGUCCUAAGACACUGGCAUUUUUUUAAUCUCCCAGUUCACCCCUGGCCCUGGUAGGAUGGAGCAGCACGGCCACAGCUGAAGGGGAGGAGGUUGGCACUGCCACCAGGUCUGGGCCUGCCUGCUGAUCUCACACACUUCUGAAGACACGUGAUAUGUCUGAGAUUUUAAACAAAACAAACAAAAAAAUAAUCCAGAAAGGACAUUUUGUUCUUACAUGAGCAAGUUAAACCUUUUAAAUGGUAGAAAAGCAAUAUGUAGAAGUAGCAAUUUGCACUGCAUUUUUAUAUAUCACAGCCAUUACACGUAACAUUUCUACAGUGAAAAAAUAGACUGUCUUUGAACAUAAUAUGAACAAAUAAGCAAUUUUUUUCUUUUAAAUUCAUUGACUGAUAUUCUUUGUCUUUAAAAAAAAAAAAA